AGACCCGAAACCCGGUGAUCUAGCCAUGGGCAGGUUGAAGGUUGGGUAACACUAACUGGAGGACCGAACCGACUAAUGUUGAAAAAUUAGCGGAUGACCUGUGGCUGGGGGUGAAAGGCCAAUCAAACCGGGAGAUAGCUGGUUCUCCCCGAAAGCUAUUUAGGUAGCGCCUCGUGAAUUCAUCUCCGGGGGUAGAGCACUGUUUCGGCUAGGGGGCCAUCCCGGCUUACCAACCCGAUGCAAACUGCGAAUACCGGAGAAUGUUAUCACGGGAGACACACGGCGGGUGCUAACGUCCGUCGUGAAGAGGGAAACAACCCAGACCGCCAGCUAAGGUCCCAAAGUCAUGGUUAAGUGGGAAACGAUGUGGGAAGGCCCAGACAGCCAGGAUGUUGGCUUAGAAGCAGCCAUCAUUUAAAGAAAGCGUAAUAGCUCACUGGUCGAGUCGGCCUGCGCGGAAGAUGUAACGGGGCUAAACCAUGCACCGAAGCUGCGGCAGCGAACGUAUCACUUAAAGCGAUUCAGCGGAUGACGAUUGACGGAGCGAAGCGACGUCAAAGCGUAUACAAAGUCGAGUCGGUUUAAGGAUACGUUCGUUGGGUAGGGGAGCGUUCUGUAAGCCUGUGAAGGUGGCCUGUGAGGGUUGCUGGAGGUAUCAGAAGUGCGAAUGCUGACAUAAGUAACGAUAAAGCGGGUGAAAAGCCCGCUCGCCGGAAGACCAAGGGUUCCUGUCCAACGUUAAUCGGGGCAGGGUGAGUCGACCCCUAAGGCGAGGCCGAAAGGCGUAGUCGAUGGGAAACGGGUUAAUAUUCCCGUACUUGGUGUUACUGCGAAGGGGGGACGGAGAAGGCUAUGUUGGCCGGGCGACGGUUGUCCCGGUUUAAGCGUGUAGGUGUGUGUUCCAGGUAAAUCCGGUUCACUUUAACACUGAGGCGUGACGACGAGGCACUACGGUGCUGAAGCAACAAAUGCCCUGCUUCCAGGAAAAGCCUCUAAGCAUCAGGUAACAUCAAAUCGUACCCCAAACCGACACAGGUGGUCAGGUAGAGAAUACCAAGGCGCUUGAGAGAACUCGGGUGAAGGAACUAGGCAAAAUGGUGCCGUAACUUCGGG
RNAcentral lists this ribosomal RNA (1113 nucleotides) under Salmonella enterica subsp. enterica serovar Bovismorbificans. RNAcentral describes it as "partial 23S ribosomal RNA". It matches the Rfam family "Bacterial large subunit ribosomal RNA", at positions 711 to 1740 of the family's 2925-position model. The record is from RNAcentral. Lineage: Bacteria; Pseudomonadati; Pseudomonadota; Gammaproteobacteria; Enterobacterales; Enterobacteriaceae.